ACAUCCAGAGAACUUAGCAGAGAUGCUUUGGUGCCUUCGGGAACUCUGAGACAGGUGCUGCAUGGCUGUCGUCAGCUCGUGUUGUGAAAUGUUGGGUUAAGUCCCGCAACGAGCGCAACCCUUAUCCUUUGUUGCCAGCGGUUCGGCCGGGAACUCAAAGGAGACUGCCGGUGAUAAACCGGAGGAAGUGGGGAUGACGUCAAGUCAUCAUGGCCCUUACGGCCAGGGCCACACACGUGCUACAAUGGCGCAUACAAAGAGAAGCGACCUCGCGAGAGCAAGCGGACCUCAUAAAGUGCGUCGUAGUCCGGAUUGGAGUCUGCAACUCGACUCCAUGAAGUCGGAAUCGCUAGUAAUCGUAGAUCAGAAUGCUACGGUGAAUACGUUCCCGGGCCUUGUACACACCGCCCGUCACACCAUGGGAGUGGGUUGCAAAAGAAGUAGGUAGCUUAACCUUCGGGAGGGCGCUUACCACUUUGUGAUUCAUGACUGGGGUGAAGUCGUAACAAGGUAAGCGUAGCGAG
RNAcentral lists this ribosomal RNA (524 nucleotides) under uncultured bacterium. RNAcentral's name for it is "bacterial SSU rRNA". It matches the Rfam family "Bacterial small subunit ribosomal RNA", at positions 984 to 1509 of the family's 1533-position model. The record is from RNAcentral.